Molecule: long non-coding RNA, 837 nt
Organism: Gallus gallus (chicken)
Lineage: Eukaryota; Metazoa; Chordata; Aves; Galliformes; Phasianidae
Source: Ensembl
CUGAUUAAGUCUGUAGGACAGACUCCACUUUGUUGUUGUUGUUGUUUUAAAAAGGCAGUGUGUGUGCAAGCAAAAAGAGGCGUUGGAGCGUUCCCUCUCUACGUACAUGCAGGACACAUCCAUGGCAGAGCACAGUGCCAGAAGUAUUCAUCUCCCACAAGCUCCUUGUGGCCGAUCCACCACCUGUGGGUUCUGCAACACAGCUGUACUUAUUCUCUUCCUACCAAUGGGAAUAUGGCACAGAGGCAUGGAAAGGCAGUUGUGAUUAUAGGGAUGGACUGGAAGCUGGGACUUCACAUGGCAGUUACAGUUGGGAUGAGUGGAGAGUAACUGAAAUUAAACGUGGAGGGGCUUUACCAAGGAAAUCAUCAGCCUGCUGUUAGACAGAGGUGGGCUAGGAGAUGUCAGCCCAGAGUUACAGUUGCAUCUUGCUCCGGCUGCCAAAGACAGGAGCAGUUAGGGCAGUUGGGGAUGGGUGCAAAGAUGCCCCAGGUUGCCACUGGCGACACCGUUAUGAAGUCACUCCAGGGUUCCGGCCGUGGCAACGAGCCCACCAAGAGCAACAAACGCCUCUGCGCAGUGCUCCUGCUCUUGCCAGGCUCUGCAAGUUGACAGAGCUGACCAACAGCCGGCUUUGCUGCUGCCGAGAGUGGCAGACAGCCUGCAGGGCACAAGGAACAAGAGGCAUCUCGAAACAGAGGCUUUGGGAAAGCCGUCCGUUGGGCGAUGUUUGCCUGGAGGGCAGAAGACUUCUCAGCCCAGCCAAGGGCACAGAGAGCCAUCCCCCAGCCUGUGCCAGCCUUCCAGCUGCAAGAGACUGCUCACGGCACUGAUGGC